UUACCCAAUCCUAAUACAGGGAGGUAGUGACAAGAAAUAACAAUACAGGACUUUUUGGUUUUGUAAUUGGAAUGAGUUAAGUAUAAACCCCUUUACAAGUAUCAAUUGGAGGGCAAGUCUGGUGCCAGCAGCCGCGGUAAUUCCAGCUCCAAUAGCGUAUAUUAAAGUUGUUGCAGUUAAAAAGCUCGUAGUUGGAUUUCUGUUAAUAAUUUAUAUAAAAUAUUUUGAUGAAUAUUUAUAUAAUAUUAACAUAAUUCAUA
This 260-nucleotide ribosomal RNA is filed under the name Cryptosporidium parvum. RNAcentral describes it as "partial small subunit ribosomal RNA". It matches the Rfam family "Eukaryotic small subunit ribosomal RNA", at positions 441 to 702 of the family's 1831-position model. The record is from RNAcentral. Lineage: Eukaryota; Apicomplexa; Conoidasida; Eucoccidiorida; Cryptosporidiidae.